CAGAGAGGAGAAGAAGGUCAAACAGACUAAUCCUCAAAAAGACCUGAAAUUCUGGCUCCCCUGGACCACGCCAAAAGACAUUCCGCUGGGAGCAAGAGACAGGCACCAAAGAGUUUCAAAAUCCUUCAAACUACUCCAUGGUGAGACUAAAACUGGGGUUCCCUGCAAUUCUACUUUAAUCCUUACGCUUCUAAGUAACCCAGAGACAAAGCCCUUCGAGGUGCCUCAAAAUACCCAGCGAUGCCAAGGAAAACUAUGGCAAUUACUUCAGACUGACUGCAGGGGAGACUGGGAGACUCUUACUUGAAGCCUCACACACAGAAAUGAGAAGAGGUGGUCUAAUUAGCAUAGGUGGUCUAAUUAGCCCAGGUAAAGGGCUUUGAGCUCCUGCCUUACAGAGUAUCUUGAAUUCUAGCAUUGAGAAAAAGGAAAAGUUGUAAAUGUUUUAUAUGACUGGUUCAUCAUAGGGGAAAAAAGCUGUCAGGAUUUAAGGAAGCCAGCUCCUCUCUUCACAGGGGAAGAAUGAACCACAUAAGUGAGAAGCCAAAACCCCAGGGAGAUCAUUAAGUGAGUGAAGCAGCAACCUGGCAUCACCAGUUCACAGCCCCUGCCCAGGAUGCCUGGACCUGGAAUUAAACACUAGAGGAGGGAAGUGGGCUGAUAUCUUACUUUUGCUCUCCAACAAUCCAGACACCAAGUCAAUGCACAUGAAGAUUCCAUUCCCAAGAACCAAGAAAAGGUACCAAUGACCUGGAUUCAGAUGCCCUGGCCUGGGUUUAAAUCCUGGCUCUGCCAUUUACUAACUCUGUGAAUUACUUCAACUCUCUGUACCUGGAUUUCCUAAUAUAAAAAUGUGUAUAAUACUAAAACUAAUCUUAGAGGGUUUUGUGAUGAUUUGAUCAUACAAGUUAAUAACACAAAUAGAAUCUAAUUUAGAUCAUAGUAAGUGUUCAAUUAAAUGAAAAUUAUUAUUAUCCAUCUCUUGGUGUUGGUGGCUAACCAUUAUUGAGCUUUUAUUAUGUAUCAUGUGCUAACCAUGGAUUACCUAAUUUGUCCCCCGCAAACUCUGUAAGACAACGUAUGAAAAGCACUAAGCUCAGUGAACUCCCUGAACAUAGAAAAUGCUCAAUAAAAAGGACCCAACCUUCCUACUAUCAUUACCAAAUCACCAAGUGAAAUCCAAAACACCAUUUCCCCCCAUUCUGAAAAGACACCUGGGUAAAAAGACAAGUCAAAGAAAACAUGAGACUUAAGCACCCUAUAAGCAUCUAUCUGAGUAACAUGUCAGUUGGAGGUUUUUGAUGAGUCAGAGACUCUUCUUGGUAUUACCUUGACUAUUUCACUCUGAUAAAGAUUGCAAGACCCAGGAGUCAAAUGAAUGGGGCCAUCUGAAUACUGUCUUACACUGGGCGUCUAGAGUCAGAAGAAAAAGAAGACUUUUCUAUACCAUAAAUUCUACCUCUGAUGGGUUAAGGUACAAUGUGCUUUAAAGAACAGUCAUUUUAACUCCAGAAAAGUUUUCAUGUUGUUAAAGCAUUGACUUCAAAUCACUUCAUGAGAUAAGCAGGGGCUAUUUGAAGCAAUGAACGAAACAUCAAGAAAAAGAAAAUGAUUUAGUAAAGUUCAAACUUGAUCUACAAAAAAUAAAUAAAUAAAUAAAUAAAAGCGAUCCUCAAAAGCUCUUCUAUUUUUGAUCCCUAUUCUAUUAGACAGAGACAACACAUCCCCUACCAGCCCCACGCAUCCUGGCUCUGUCAACUGACUGUUCACACGUGAACCAAGUGGAGCAGAGCCUCAAUAUUAGCGUUCUGUACUAACAAUAAACUUGGUCUAUACAGGAUCAUAGCACUUUUCGGAUGAUAUGGUAGAUUGCUAAUGGCAUGUUCCUUUGCAAUGUGACUUUGUCAUUCCCCCCAAUUCAGAGUUGGAGGCAAUUUCUCCACUCUCUCGAGUCUGGGAUACAACUGGAUCUCUUGCUACUUGUUUCGGCCAACAGGAUAUGGCAGAAGUGAGGCUAUGCAAAUUCCAAAGCCUAGGCCUCAAGAGGACAGAAGCCUCCAGCUCUGUCCUUUUGGAAAGCUGCCCUGAAGUGGCCACAGUAUGUAGAAGCCCAGGAUGAAAGACCACAUGGGAAGGGGCCCUGUGAUCCCAGCCCUGAAUGUAGCUGCACAAGUAAGCCCAGGAGAGGACAACAGCACCAACCAGUCAAUCCACGAGUCACAAGAAAUAAACACUAUUGUCACCUUUGGUC
Long non-coding RNA from Sapajus apella (tufted capuchin), 2251 nucleotides. RefSeq lists it as uncharacterized. The record is from RefSeq and is a predicted model, not a curated record. The transcript is spliced from 2 exons. Lineage: Eukaryota; Metazoa; Chordata; Mammalia; Primates; Cebidae.